RNAcentral lists this long non-coding RNA (282 nucleotides) under Salvia miltiorrhiza (redroot sage). RNAcentral's name for it is "long non-coding RNA (SMIL_LNC002725)". Lineage: Eukaryota; Viridiplantae; Streptophyta; Magnoliopsida; Lamiales; Lamiaceae. The record is from RNAcentral.
GAAAUACUAAAUCUCUAGUCAUUCUCGACUUCCAUGGCCACCUCGACUCCAGAACUGCAAAACUGAGAAGAUAAGGGGUGAGCAUAUUGAAAAUAUACUCAGUGAAGAAUCAUGCACAUAUUCACAUACGCUUAAACAUGCAAAUAAUUCACAUUGUCAUACACAUAUACUGAUAAUCUGAUGGGCGAACUGAGAGCCCCUGAACAUGUAUUUCAACAUGGCUAAAUUUCUGAACAUGUAUUUCUACAUGGCUGAACAUGUAUUUCAACAUGGCUGAUUUUC